This 262-nucleotide ribosomal RNA is filed under the name uncultured prokaryote. Its description in RNAcentral is "partial 16S ribosomal RNA". It matches the Rfam family "Bacterial small subunit ribosomal RNA", at positions 524 to 784 of the family's 1533-position model. The record is from RNAcentral.
UACGUAGGGUGCGAGCGUUGUCCGGAAUUACUGGGCGUAAAGAGCUCGUAGGUGGUUUGUCGCGUCGUCUGUGGAAUUCCGGGGCUUAACUUCGGGCGUGCAGGCGAUACGGGCAAUACUUGAGUGCUGUAGGGGAGACUGGAAUUCCUGGUGUAGCGGUGGAAUGCGCAGAUAUCAGGAGGAACACCGGUGGCGAAGGCAGGUCUCUGGGCAGUAACUGACGCUGAGGAGCGAAAGCAUGGGUAGCGAACAGGAUUAGAUA